Molecule: transfer RNA, 72 nt
Filed under: Oopsacas minuta
Lineage: Eukaryota; Metazoa; Porifera; Hexactinellida; Lyssacinosida; Leucopsacidae
Also listed under: 1 other name
Description: tRNA-iMet
Rfam family: tRNA
About the family: Transfer RNA (tRNA) molecules are approximately 80 nucleotides in length. Their secondary structure includes four short double-helical elements and three loops (D, anti-codon, and T loops). Further hydrogen bonds mediate the characteristic L-shaped molecular structure. tRNAs have two regions of fundamental functional importance: the anti-codon, which is responsible for specific mRNA codon recognition, and the 3' end, to which the tRNAs corresponding amino acid is attached (by aminoacyl-tRNA synthetases). tRNAs cope with the degeneracy of the genetic code in two manners: having more than one tRNA (with a specific anti-codon) for a particular amino acid; and 'wobble' base-pairing, i.e. permitting non-standard base-pairing at the 3rd anti-codon position.
Source: RNAcentral
AGCAGAGUGGCGCAGGGGAAGCGUGCUGGGCCCAUAACCCAGAGGUCGGUGGAUCGAAACCACUCUCUGCUA